RNAcentral lists this long non-coding RNA (851 nucleotides) under Olea europaea subsp. europaea. Lineage: Eukaryota; Viridiplantae; Streptophyta; Magnoliopsida; Lamiales; Oleaceae. The record is from RNAcentral.
AUUACAGAAAAUUUGACCCGUGAUCGCACGCCAUACAGUUCAUUGCAUGUGCACCAAUCAAUGAUUUUGCUCUCGGUAAAUGCAUAUCAAGGUCUUCUGCGCGUAGGUAAAAAUGUUUGUGCACGCACGCCAUUUUCGCAAUGUUGUCCUUGGACAGUUUUCAGUAAUUUGGUCAUAGCUUUCUUUUUCAAACUCCGAUUGAGGUGAUUUAAAAUGCGUUGAAAAGAUAACUCAAAAAAAUACAAUUUUUCCAGGAAUACAUAUUUUUCAAUUCAAAUGUUUGCUAUCCAAAAAUAGGUCUCAAAUUGAGGCUAAAAAUUUGAAGCAUAACUUUUUUGGUUGGAAAUUGAUUUGUGGAAUGCUUCAACUUUAUUUCAUUCCUUUGACCUCUAAUUGUAUCCAAUUUAUGUCAUAUGAUCUUCAAUAAUCAUUUUGUGGUUCGAAUAAACUAUUGGAUGUUUACACUUUGAUCCCCAAACUUUGGAAUUCUUUCGUUUUCGUUAGGAGUGAGUAUUUUUUCCCAGAACUGGUGGAAUCGGGCCGGAACCGUUUGGAACCGGAUCUUUUGAAAAAUAAUUUGAUUUCGAGACAAAUUAUUAAAGCCAAUUGAUUCCGGUUUCGGUCUGGUUCCCGAUUCUAGUAUGGGAAUCGCCGGAAACCAGGCGGUUCUAAUAGGAUUUUUUUGGUAUUUAUAUGACUCAAUCUCCAACAUUUUUAUCAAAAAAGAAAUUGGGUUCCUUCUUAAUUUUAGAUUCUAGCACUUUCAUUAUUCUCUUUGAUUUUUUCCUUUUCUCUCCUUAUAAUUCUUUGAUUAAUUAAUUCUCAAGUCAAAUUAGAAUAUUGGAUAAAUC